Erinaceus europaeus (western European hedgehog) is the source of this 320-nucleotide unclassified non-coding RNA. Its record names the gene 7SK. It matches the Rfam family "7SK RNA". Rfam says of the family: 7SK was discovered as an abundant small nuclear RNA in the mid-70s but a possible function has only recently been suggested. Two independent studies have found that 7SK RNA binds the CDK9/cyclin T complex (known as elongation factor P-TEFb). NCBI's taxonomy places the organism in Eukaryota, Metazoa, Chordata, Mammalia, Eulipotyphla, Erinaceidae. The record is from Ensembl.
GGAUGUGAGGGCAAUCUGGCUGUGAUAUCUGUCACCCCAUUGAUAGCCAGGGUUGAUUCAGCUGAUCUUGCUUGCUAGGCAGGUGUCCCCUUUCUCCCUCACUGCUCCAACUCAUCCCUCCCAAAGCUGCAGGUUUGGUUGAAGAGGACGUCCUUCCCCGAACAGAGAUGGACAGGUGUUCGGUCAAGGGUAUACAAGUAGCUGCGCUCCCCUGCUAGAGCCUCAAAACAAGUGCUCAUACUUAGCACAGGAGCCUAUGUAUCCUUUGCAUGAGCUCACAGUAUGAGCUCACAGUCCAUGGUCACAGCUAGGAACAUUCU